Molecule: ribosomal RNA, 429 nt
Filed under: Pseudomonadota bacterium
Lineage: Bacteria; Pseudomonadati; Pseudomonadota
Description: Proteobacteria bacterium partial 16S ribosomal RNA
Rfam family: Bacterial small subunit ribosomal RNA
Source: RNAcentral
UGGGGAAUAUUGGACAAUGGGCGAAAGCCUGAUCCAGCCAUGCCGCGUGUGUGAAGAAGGUCUUCGGAUUGUAAAGCACUUUAAGUUGGGAGGAAGGGCAGUAAGCGAAUACCUUGCUGUUUUGACGUUACCGACAGAAUAAGCACCGGCUAACUCUGUGCCAGCAGCCGCGGUAAUACAGAGGGUGCAAGCGUUAAUCGGAAUUACUGGGCGUAAAGCGCGCGUAGGUGGUUCGUUAAGUUGAAUGUGAAAGCCCCGGGCUCAACCUGGGAAGUGCAUCCAAAACUGGCGAGCUAGAGUAGGGCAGAGGGUGGUGGAAUAUCCUGUGUAGCGGUGAAAAGCGUAGAUAUAGGAAGGAACACCAGGGGCGAAGGCGACCACCUGGGGUCAUACUGACACUGAGGUGCGAAAGCGUGGGGGGGAAACAAG